Molecule: long non-coding RNA, 477 nt
Organism: Trifolium pratense (red clover)
Lineage: Eukaryota; Viridiplantae; Streptophyta; Magnoliopsida; Fabales; Fabaceae
Exons: 2
Source: RefSeq, a predicted model, not a curated record
GUUUUUUCACACUAUAAAGUGAUCAAACAAUUUAUUUCUAAAUUCAUAAAAGAAAAAAAUAUGGCUAAAGUUUAUAUAUUCAUUUGUGCUAUUAUUAUCAUUUUUUCCCUAUUUAUUUCAAUAACAAACUGUAUAGAACGACUGCCUUGCGAAAAGGAUUGGGAUUGUCCAAGAGAUUUGUGUUUGCUUCCUGAUAUUCCAAGAUGCAUGCAUCAAAUGUGUGGAUGUGCCAAAGAAGCCAUAAAAGUUGCUUAAAAAAAAAAAAAACAGAAGCCAUAAAAGUUAAUUAAAAAUAUAGUAUAUUAUGUUAUUUCUACCCAUAUGAUAAUGUUGGUGGUGCCUUUAUGAUUUAUUUCACAGUUAUGUAUUUUUUUCCUUUUCUGAUCUUUAAAUUUCAUUGAUGUAUGCAAAAGUUCUAUUAUAAUAAUUAUCAUAAGUAUAAUUAUAUAUAAUUAAAUAAUUUUUAAUAUUUUACAA